Molecule: transfer RNA, 72 nt
Filed under: Bacteroidota bacterium
Lineage: Bacteria; Pseudomonadati; Bacteroidota
Also listed under: 2 other names
Description: tRNA-Arg
Rfam family: tRNA
About the family: Transfer RNA (tRNA) molecules are approximately 80 nucleotides in length. Their secondary structure includes four short double-helical elements and three loops (D, anti-codon, and T loops).
Source: RNAcentral
GGCCCCGUAGUUCAAUGGAUAGAACGGAAGUUUCCUAAACUUUAGAUGCAGGUUCGAUUCCUGCCGGGGUCA